AUUGAACGCUGGCGGCAUGCCUUACACAUGCAAGUCGAACGGCAGCACGGGAGCAAUCCUGGUGGCGAGUGGCGAACGGGUGAGUAAUAUAUCGGAACGUGCCCAGUCGUGGGGGAUAACGUAGCGAAAGCUACGCUAAUACCGCAUACGAUCUAUGGAUGAAAGCGGGGGAUCGCAAGACCUCGCGCGAUUGGAGCGGCCGAUAUCAGAUUAGGUAGUUGGUGGGGUAAAAGCCUACCAAGCCUUCGAUCUGUAGCUGGUCUGAGAGGACGACCAGCCACACUGGAACUGAGACACGGUCCAGACUCCUACGGGAGGCAGCAGUGGGGAAUUUUGGACAAUGGGCGCAAGCCUGAUCCAGCAAUGCCGCGUGUGUGAAGAAGGCCUGCGGGUUGUAAAGCACUUUCAGUGGGGAAGAACAGGUUCGGGUCAAUACCCGGAGCCCUGACGUUACCACAGAAGAAGCACCGGCUAACUCCGUGCCAG
This 486-nucleotide ribosomal RNA is filed under the name uncultured bacterium. RNAcentral's name for it is "bacterial SSU rRNA". It matches the Rfam family "Bacterial small subunit ribosomal RNA", at positions 30 to 511 of the family's 1533-position model. The record is from RNAcentral.